UACGUAGGAUGCAAGCGUUGUCCGGAAUUACUGGGCGUAAAGGGCGCGUAGGCGGUGCUCUAAGUCGGAUGUGAAAACUCUGGGCUCAACCCAGAGCCUGCAUCCGAAACUGGAGUGCUAGAGUUCUGGAGGGGGUAGCGGAAUUCCUGGUGUAGCGGUGAAAUGCGUAGAUAUCAGGAGGAACACCGGUGGCGAAGGCGGCUACCUGGACAGAAACUGACGCUGAGGCGCGAAAGCUAGGGGAGCAAACAGG
This 253-nucleotide ribosomal RNA is filed under the name uncultured bacterium. Its description in RNAcentral is "partial 16S ribosomal RNA". It matches the Rfam family "Bacterial small subunit ribosomal RNA", at positions 524 to 776 of the family's 1533-position model. The record is from RNAcentral.